This 28-nucleotide non-coding RNA is filed under the name Mus musculus (house mouse). The record is from RNAcentral. Lineage: Eukaryota; Metazoa; Chordata; Mammalia; Rodentia; Muridae.
UCCCAGCCACCACUCCUAGAGACAUUUU